This is a non-coding RNA of Pseudonaja textilis, 522 nucleotides long. NCBI's taxonomy places the organism in Eukaryota, Metazoa, Chordata, Lepidosauria, Squamata, Elapidae. The record is from RefSeq and is a predicted model, not a curated record.
UUAAAGUUGCUGAGGAUGAGAAACACUAGUUUAAAAGAUGCCUCUCCAUUUUGCAAAAUCUAAGCCUAACAGUAUUCAUGUUUGGGGGGGGGGGAACAGAUUUUUGUUGGGGGAGUAUUUAUUAGAUUCACAAUACUGGGAGAUUGGGGAAAGGGGCUUCUCCAUGCAGAUGUUAUUUUGUUGUUCUUUAGGCCUCGUAACAGCAUGAUUAUCUUUGAGCAAACAUACAGCUUAAAAAUGGCACUUGUUCCAAACAUUUAUUAUAGGUAACUACAGUGAGACAAUCAAACAAACACUGAGAAGCCAAUGCAGUCCACACACAUUAGAAAACAGAACACUAAUAAUGUACUAUUCUCAGUAUAUCAGAAUGAGUCAGACCCUCAAAAAAAAAAAGAUCACUCAUAGAAAGCCGGUGCAAUACAUUUUGCUGCCUGAGGGAAAAGACAAGAUGAUAUCUCUUUAUUCAACAGACAUCAGCUGACCAUGUUGAUGGCUGCAUUUUGUUUCAGCACUACCAGUGAG